CCUACGGGGUGCUGCAGUGGGGAAUAUUGGGCAAUGGGCGCAAGCCUGACCCAGCAACGCCGCGUGAAGGAAGAAGGCUUUCGGGUUGUAAACUUCUUUUCUCAGGGACGAAGCAAGUGACGGUACCUGAGGAAUAAGCCACGGCUAACUACGUGCCAGCAGCCGCGGUAAUACGUAGGUGGCAAGCGUUAUCCGGAUUUACUGGGUGUAAAGGGCGUGUAGGCGGGAAAGCAAGUCAGAUGUGAAAACCAUGGGCUCAACCUGUGGCCUGCAUUUGAAACUGUUUUUCUUGAGUACUGGGGAGGCAGACGGAAUUCCUGGUGUAGCGGUGAAAUGCGUAGAUAUUAGGAGGAACACCGGUGGCGAAGGCGGUCUGCUGGACAGCAACUGACGCUGAGGCGCGAAAGCGUGGGGAGCAAACAGGAUUAGAUACCCUAGUAGUC
Molecule: ribosomal RNA, 443 nt
Filed under: uncultured bacterium
Lineage: Bacteria
Description: partial 16S ribosomal RNA
Rfam family: Bacterial small subunit ribosomal RNA
Source: RNAcentral